UUUCAUAAAUAAUUGGACUAAGUUUACAAAAGCUAUUUUGAAUAUUCAUGGAAGUUCAAUCAAAGAUAAAUAUGCCAAAUACUUAUUAUCUCAAUAUGAUGCUGCUCAAUUGAUGAAAGAUUAUAGGACUUGUAAUAUCCUGAAACUAUUACUAUUACCAUAUUUUAUCCCGACUAAGACUCAAAUUAAGGGUAAUAACAAAAAUAAAUCAUGGAAAUCAUCUCAUGAAGAGUCUGCUGCAGCAUUUGUAACUCAUAUUACUAAUUGAUCUAAUUUAGAAGAGGAUAUAACUAGGAGACGUUUGAAAUAUGCUGAAUAUGGGUCUACAAUACAGCCAUUUAUUAUAUUAGUGGGGAAUGAUAUAUCUUCCAUCAAUACAUGCUACAUUAGAGUAAAUGACCAGCUAUGGAAAAUACAAUGUCCUUUACGUGCUAUUAAUAUUUGUUUUAAGACAUAUUUUACUUUUAAUUGCUCACACCCAAGAGAAUGUUAUGAGACUUAGUUACUUUUACAAAAUCAUGUUUUUAAUUUGGUAACUGAUUUUGAUAA
Molecule: long non-coding RNA, 549 nt
Organism: Aphis gossypii (cotton aphid)
Lineage: Eukaryota; Metazoa; Arthropoda; Insecta; Hemiptera; Aphididae
Exons: 3
Source: RefSeq, a predicted model, not a curated record